This 429-nucleotide ribosomal RNA is filed under the name bacterium. RNAcentral describes it as "partial 16S ribosomal RNA". It matches the Rfam family "Bacterial small subunit ribosomal RNA", at positions 355 to 776 of the family's 1533-position model. The record is from RNAcentral.
UAGGGAAUCUUCGGCAAUGGGGGCAACCCUGACCGAGCAACGCCGCGUGAGUGAAGAAGGUUUUCGGAUCGUAAAGCUCUGUUGUAAGAGAAGAACGUGUGUGAGAGUGGAAAGUUCACACAGUGACGGUAACUUACCAGAAAGGGACGGCUAACUACGUGCCAGCAGCCGCGGUAAUACGUAGGUCCCGAGCGUUGUCCGGAUUUAUUGGGCGUAAAGCGAGCGCAGGCGGUUUAAUAAGUCUGAAGUUAAAGGCAGUGGCUUAACCAUUGUUCGCUUUGGAAACUGUUAAACUUGAGUGCAGAAGGGGAGAGUGGAAUUCCAUGUGUAGCGGUGAAAUGCGUAGAUAUAUGGGGGAACACCGGUGGCGAAAGCGGCUCUCUGGUCUGUAACUGACGCUGAGGCUCGAAAGCGUGGGGAGCAAACAGG